This 468-nucleotide ribosomal RNA is filed under the name uncultured bacterium. RNAcentral describes it as "partial 16S ribosomal RNA". It matches the Rfam family "Bacterial small subunit ribosomal RNA", at positions 28 to 507 of the family's 1533-position model. The record is from RNAcentral.
GACGAACGCUGGCGGCGUGCUUAACACAUGCAAGUCGAACGGAAAGGCCCUGCUUUUGUGGGGUGCUCGAGUGGCGAACGGGUGAGUAACACGUGAGUAACCUGCCCUUGACUUUGGGAUAACUUCAGGAAACUGGGGCUAAUACCGGAUAGGAGCUCCUGCUGCAUGGUGGGGGUUGGAACGUUUCGGCGGUCGGGGAUGGACUCGCGGCUUAUCAGCUUGUUGGUGGGGUAGUGGCUUACCAAGGCUUUGACGGGUAGCCGGCCUGAGAGGGUGACCGGCCACAUUGGGACUGAGAUACGGACCAGACUCCUACGGGAGGCAGCAGGGGGGAAUAUUGCACAAUGGGCGGAAGCCUGAUGAAGCAACGCCGCGUGCGGGAUGACGGCCUUCGGGUUGUAAACCGCUUUCGCCUGUGACGAAGCGUGAGUGACGGUAAUGGGUAAAGAAGCACCGGCUAACUACGUG